CCUACGGGAGGCAGCAGUCGAGAAUCAUUCACAAUGGGGGAAACCCUGAUGGUGCGACGCCGCGUGGGGGAAUGAAGGUCUUCGGAUUGUAAACCCCUGUCAUGUGGGAGCAAAUUAAAAAGAUAGUACCACAAGAGGAAGAGACGGCUAACUCUGUGCCAGCAGCCGCGGGAAUACAGAGGUCUCAAGCGGUGUUCGGAAUCACUGGGCGUAAAGCGUGCGGAGGCUGGUUCGUAAGUCGGGUGUGAAAGGCGCGGGCUCAACCCGCGGACGGCACAUGAUACUGCGAGCCUAGAGUAAUGGAGGGGGAACCGGAAUUCGCGGUGUAGCAGUGAAAUGCGUAGAUAUCGAGAGGAACACUCGUGGCGAAGGCGGGUUCCUGGACAUUAACUGACGCUGAGGCACGAAGGCCAGGGGAGCGAAAGGGAUUAGAUACCCGAGUAGUC
This 446-nucleotide ribosomal RNA is filed under the name uncultured bacterium. Its description in RNAcentral is "partial 16S ribosomal RNA". It matches the Rfam family "Bacterial small subunit ribosomal RNA", at positions 338 to 795 of the family's 1533-position model. The record is from RNAcentral.